CUCAAAGCGGGUAAAAAUUAGGCUGACAGCCGCCCAAAUUUUCAGCCAAGUUUGAAAUUUUCACACAUACACUAUACACGCUCGAGUCUCCUUGAAUACCCUCAACACUCACUACACUCUCUCCCUCGCUCAACUCUCUCUCCCUUCUCUACUCUCUCUCUUGUUAAUCUCUCUAAAGCUAAUCUCUCUCUGGCCACCAUUUUCACUCAAUCUCGUCAUCACUUUUAAUUAACAUGGAUUUGCAUUUAUAGUUGGAGCACAGUUGAUUUGUGGGUCGAGGUUCCAAUUCUUCAAUUAGGGUUUUGGCUUUUCAAUCAGGGUGUUCUUAGUUUGAGUUUGCACUCCAAGACUUUAUUAUAAGGAGAAGCUUAAGCCGUUAAUGGAUCAACUUAACAAAGUCAAAGACUUGACUGUUCCAGAAUUUGGAAAUUUCCGAACUUGAGAAGUGCGAGCAAAUGCAAGAAUAUGUUUAUAUAUAAUAGUGGAGUGUAGUGGGAUGUUUGGUUGGAUCCGUUUAAUACUUUGAUUUGGUUGGAUUUGUUAGGUAGUUUUGUUUGGUUGGAUUUGUUAUAAACUUUGAUUUGUAUGAAAGAAUAGUUUAAUGUUUCAGUGGAUAUAGUGAAAUAUUGCAAAGUUGUUAA
This is a long non-coding RNA of Daucus carota subsp. sativus, 641 nucleotides long. RefSeq lists it as uncharacterized. The record is from RefSeq and is a predicted model, not a curated record. The transcript is spliced from 3 exons. Lineage: Eukaryota; Viridiplantae; Streptophyta; Magnoliopsida; Apiales; Apiaceae.